This 400-nucleotide ribosomal RNA is filed under the name Staphylococcus aureus. RNAcentral describes it as "bacterial SSU rRNA". It matches the Rfam family "Bacterial small subunit ribosomal RNA", at positions 1138 to 1533 of the family's 1533-position model. Lineage: Bacteria; Bacillati; Bacillota; Bacilli; Caryophanales; Staphylococcaceae. The record is from RNAcentral.
CUCUAAGUUGACUGCCGGUGACAAACCGGAGGAAGGUGGGGAUGACGUCAAAUCAUCAUGCCCCUUAUGAUUUGGGCUACACACGUGCUACAAUGGACAAUACAAAGGGCAGCGAAACCGCGAGGUCAAGCAAAUCCCAUAAAGUUGUUCUCAGUUCGGAUUGUAGUCUGCAACUCGACUACAUGAAGCUGGAAUCGCUAGUAAUCGUAGAUCAGCAUGCUACGGUGAAUACGUUCCCGGGUCUUGUACACACCGCCCGUCACACCACGAGAGUUUGUAACACCCGAAGCCGGUGGAGUAACCUUUUAGGAGCUAGCCGUCGAAGGUGGGACAAAUGAUUGGGGUGAAGUCGUAACAAGGUAGCCGUAUCGGAAGGUGCGGCUGGAUCACCUCCUUUCUA